Molecule: ribosomal RNA, 384 nt
Filed under: uncultured fungus
Lineage: Eukaryota; Fungi
Description: SSU rRNA
Rfam family: Eukaryotic small subunit ribosomal RNA
Source: RNAcentral
GGCCUUGGUGAUCAUAAUAACUUAACGAAUCGCAUGGCCUUGUUGCGGCGACGGUUCAUUCAAAUUUCUGCCCUAUCAACUUUCGAUGGUAGGAUAGUGGCCUACCAUGGUUUCAACGGGUAACGGGGAAUUAGGGUUCUAUUCCGGAGAGGGAGCCUGAGAAACGGUACCACAUCCAAGGAAGGCAGCAGGCGCGCAAAUUACCCAAUCCCGACACGGGGAGGUAGUGACAAUAAAUACUGAUACAGGGCUCUUUUGGGUCUUGUAAUUGGAAUGAGUACAAUUUAAAUCCCUUAACGAGGAACAAUUGGAGGGCAAGUCUGGUGCCAGCAGCCGCGGUAAUUCCAGCUCCAAUAGCGGUAUAUUAAAGUUGUUGCAGUUUAA